GCAGGGAGAGCUGUCAGAUGGAACUAUCAUAGCAGUGAAGCAGCUAUCUUCCAAGUCAUGCCAAGGAAACCGUGAGUUUGUGAAUGAGAUAGGCAUGAUCUCUGGUCUGAAUCAUCCAAAUCUUGUCAAGCUUUGUGGAUGCUGUGUCAAAAAGGAUCAAUUGCUUCUCGUGUAUGAGUACAUGGAAAAUAACUCCCUUGCUCUUGCUUUGUUUGGUAAAUAAAUUAAAAUUCAUCCAGCUUACGUCUUGAGUCCAAUUUAUAUCUACAUAUGUUAUCACAUGUCUCAAUUCCAGGAAAGAGCUCAACCAAGUUAGAAUGGGCAAUGAGACAAAAAAUCUGUGUAGGAAUCGCAAGAGGGCUUGCCUUCCUCCACGAAGGAUCUGUAGUCAGGAUGGUUCACCGUGACAUAAAAACAACAAAUGUGCUUCUAGAUGCUGACCUAAACGCAAAGAUAUCUGACUUUGGUUUGGCCAGGCUCCACGAAGAAGAACACAGUCACAUUAGCACCAAGAUUGCAGGAACCAUGUAAGUAGUAUAUUAUAAAACAAAAACUGCACCAUAGCCAAAUAAAUAUAUCUUAGUCUUUAUUCUUGUUACAAUGCAGCGGAUACAUGGCUCCAGAGUAUGCAUUAUGGGGUCAACUAACAGAGAAAGCAGACGUGUAUAGCUUCGGGGUUGUGGCCAUGGAAAUUGUUAGUGGCAAGAGUAAUACUAAACACAAGGGAAGUGCUGAUCACGUCUCUCUUAUCAAUUGGGUAACCUUGGAGAUUGUUUUCAUUUAAUAUCCGUAUGCUUGUGUUAUACGUUUACUUAGACCACUUUUGUGAAUCUCAGGCAUUGAUGCUGCAACAGACAGGGGACAUAAUGGAUAUUGUAGAUCCAGUGCUUGAAGGUGAUUUCAACAGCAAAGAAGCAGUGAGGAUGAUCAAAGUUGCUCUCGUUUGCACACAUUCAUCUCCUUCUUUAAGGCCUACAAUGUCUGAGGCUGUACAAAUGCUCGACGGAGAGAUUGAAGUAACACAAGUUAUGUCAGAUCCUGGUUUAUAUGGACAUAACUGGAGCAUCUCGAAGCUGAGGGACGCUGAUACACAUGCUAGCUCGAGCACAUCUGGUGUGACCGAUCAAACAGCAUCGACAAUGAAGUCCUCUGUUUCCGGUAGUGAUCUCUACCCAUCGUACCCGGAAUCUGUGAUUCUGAACUCCACAGUGGAGUUGCCUUCCUCGUCGAUGUGAUAUCAAAAGAUGUGCACGAGUCCUUAAGAGGAAACAAUGGUCUGUGAAGUAAUCUUAUAGCUACCUAGUCAUAUCAUUAAAGUUGUCUGAAAUCUUAUUACUAGGUUAAUUUACAUAUAUCUAAAAACACAUCUCUAGUGCUUUUUGAAUCAAACUCUCUUUCGUAUAACUUUCCUAAAAUCAUUUACAUAUUCUAAGAAGAUUCACUGCACAAAUUGAAAAUAUUUUACUUUCUUUCUUUUAUAAAAUAGGAAGCUUUUUAGUUUCAUAAUAUUUUUUAAAUGAAACUUUUGGAACUAUAUACACACAUAAAGGGAUAAAAGAAAUGGGUCAUUCAUGAACCUGUUCAUUGCUGCCAACUUGUACAAUAAUUCAAAUAUUAAAUAGCUUUGGUCUUAUACGUAGAAUGCGGUGAAGACGAUUUCGUACAAACGAUUGAAGACGAUGAUUUCGGGCACGACGAUAACGGAGAAAACAGAGUAUCACGACAGAGAGUUAGUUCGAGGAAGAGGAAGUAAACACAGACAAUGUCGAUGACGGAGAAUGAGAGUAUCUUCGCGGUUCUUUCUUUGACGGUUCCUUCUUCGAGACGACAAAGACAAUGUUCUUAGUUAGUUUUUUUUUUUUUUAUGUAGUUAUGAUGAAGAAGAGACGGUUUGAUUUCUAUUAUGAUGAUAUGUAUAUUUAAUUAGUGAUUUAGAUUUAAUGUUUAAAAAUAAUUUCAAUAAGUAAAAACUAACCAAAGGUCCUUACAGUAAUUUACUAUGAAUAUCUAAAUAUUCUAGUAAUUUUUAAAAUAUGUUUAACACUCUAGUAAUAAACCAACUUUUCUUAUACAUUCUAUUAAUUUUCUCUAAUUUAUAUAGAUCCAAAAACACAUCUCUAUAAUGUUUGUCAUACUCGAAUUAUAUACAGUGCUUGUUGAAUCAAACUCUCUUUCCUAUAACUUUCCUAAAAUCAUUUACAUAUUUUUAGAAGAUACGCUACAAAAAAUUGAAAUUCUUUUACUUUCUUUCUUUUUAUUAAAAAAAAAGAAGCUUUUUAGCUUCAUAAUCCUAAAAAGAAUAUUUUUUAAAUGAUACUUUUGGAACUAUAAACACGUAAAGGGACAAAAGAAAUGGGUCAUUCAUGAACCUAUUACCUGUUCGUCGCUGCAACUUGUACAAUAAUUCAAAUAUUAAUUUACUUUGGUCUUACAUGUGUCGCGACUUUCUACUAGCGACGACCAAGAAGACCUAUAUGUAGAUCCUUUCACUGUUACACUUAUUUAGUUAAACAAGUCCACAAAUUUUGAAUUCAAUAAUGGGGGUUGUCUUCUCGGCUCUCGUUCUGUUCUUCACCAUCAUCACAAGUUUUUCCUCCACUCUAACAACAUCCGCUUCACCAGCUCUCCAUCCAGAUGAAUGUAUUAAAUCAAAAUCUUGAUCCUUAUAAUAUCAAAGGUCAGUAUCCGUAAUUUUUUUCAUAAAUAAACUCGAUAAUAUUUAUGCAGUGAAAGCGCUUGGGGAGAUAGCUACUACACUUGGAAUCAAGAGACUCAACCUAAGUGAUGGAGAUCCUUGCCUUUUAAAAACUCUUAAACUCGGUGUUGUUUCGAAUCCGGAUUCGGAUGUGGAAAACAUUAUUCUUUGUGAUUGUAGUUUCAACAACAACAUGACAUGUCAUAUUAUAGAACUGUGAGUGUGAAUCUUUUAUCUUCAAUUAUCAAAUUUUUAUUUUCUGAUGAUUUUUUUUUUAUUUUUGAGAAAUCACAGAAUACUCAAGUCCGUAAGUCUUUCAGGGAAACUCCCGCCUGAGUUGGCCAAACUUCAGCAUCUCCAGAAGAUGUGAGUUUAGAACUUAUGAUUAGUCGUUGGUUUUGCAAACCAUGGUUCAUAAUCCAUGUUAGUCAUUUGUGAUUUUUUUUUGCAACAAAAGUGAUUUGGUUGAUCUAUAUCUAACAUGGAGAUAAAUAAAAUUAAAAAUGUAUUAAUUCUUUAAAGUUUUCAUUUAUGUAUAUGAUGCCACACUACAAAAGUACAGCCUCGUACCUAGUAUCCAUAAUGGCUUAGUCACCCGAACAUAUGAUGAUUAAUCAAAACAGAAUAAACAGAAAUUCGAACUUUCUUUUUUGAUCAUUAGCUUAGAAAUUCGAACUUCUUUAGUCUGGAAAUCUCUCCCAUGUGGACAUUUUAUAGUGAGUUUCUGCUCUUUCUUGCAGAAACUUGUGCCGAAACUACCUUUCUGGCUCAAUCCCAAUGGAGUGGGCUUCAAUGCCAAACCUCACUUCCAUGUCAGCUCUCUCUUUCUCUCUCUCUCUCACUCCCUUGUAAUCUUCAUGAUCUGGUAGGUAAUUUUUCGCUUUCUUGCAGCUCGUUCUGCGCAAAUCGUUUGUCUGGGCCAUUACCUCCUGGUUUACAAAACUUUAAGAGUCUAAAAUUCCUGUACGUCUCAUACCUGUAGCCUCUAGGGGUAUGCCUUCUAAUCAUUAGUCUAAUAUUACUUUUAUUGUAAUGAAUUUUUCAGAGGGGUUGAAGCCAACCAGUUCUCUGGUCCUAUUCCUGAUGAGCUUGGUAACAUGAUCAACCUAACAGGAUUGUAUGAUCCUCUUUGCAUCUUAACUAUCUUCCAAAACAACAUGAACCAUUGCUUUUAUUGAAAUAGUUUUAAGUAUUUAGAUAAAAUCUCUUCUGAAAAACUGGGUUUUGCAGGGAACUUGCAUCCAAUCAAUUUACAGGAAGCCUUCCUAGCUCUCUUGCUAGACUCGUAAAUCUUGAGAAAUUGUAAGUUGUUGCUACACUUACAGCAAAAAAGCAUUUUUCCCCUUUUAGGGGGAAACGCUCUUUUAUGCUUGGAUGUGAGUAAAUUUGAAUCUCCUCAGGGGAUGCAUUAGGUUUGAAAGUUCGAAAAAUGUUCUUAUAUUUGGCACCUAAAUGAACUGUAACCUCUUGGUUACAGCUUUUGCUUUGAGAAUAUAUUUUUUUUUUUUGAGAAAUUUUCCUUGACCCACGAGGAAGUAAACUAGCUUUUUGUUUACACUAUGCAGUAGGAUAAGUGAAAAUAACUUCAGUGGCACCAUCCCAGAAUAUAUUGGCAACUGGUCUCGGCUUACAAGGCUGUAAGCUUUUUCAUAAUCAUUAAAUGUAAUUUCUCUUACAGUUUGUGUGGUUAAUAUCAUCUAAGUUUGGUCGAAUAUGAUCUUCAGAGAUCUACAAGCAAGUGGACUGAAAGGACCUUUUCCUGACGCAGUGGCCCGCCUAGAAAAUCUUACCAAUCUGUAAUUAACUAUCUCAAACUAAAUGAUCAGCUAAAGAACCAUUGAAAUGAAUAUACUGAUAUCUAAUAUUCAUUUUCAGGUUUAUUAGUGAUAUGACCGGGAUAAACUCUUUUCCUAAUAUAUCUAGCCAAGCCAUCAAAGACCUGUAUGUGUGUUUUCAAUGAAGCAUGAUUGUAUUUGAGGAUAUCAAACUAAAAACUCCGUCCCUGUUUCAGGGUUUUGAGGAAUGUGAGUAUGUCUGGUAAAAUUCCUUCUUACAUUUGGAGUAAACCAAACUUGAGAUCUCUGUAAGUUUGUGUUGAAAUCUGAAAAGACUUAUGCAGAAUUUACUCAAAGAUGUUCACACCUUAUGUUGUUUUCUGCAGUGAUUUAUCGUUUAACAAGUUGACCGGUGAAGUUCUUGGAAUAAACCCAGUACCAAAAUUUACGUAAGACGCAUAUAAUGUUAAGAUAUAUAACACAAUCACACACGGAUGAUUUAUAGUUUUGAUGUGUUGUUACAGUUACUUGACUGGCAAUAUGCUUUCCGGGGAAAUUAAAUCUGGUGUUUACCUCAACAGCAGAUCAAAUAUGUACGUUUCAGCCUUCCCUUGUUUACAUGACUUGAGAAAUCUUUCAACAUGUAAACUAAUCUUUUUAGCAAAAAAAAAAAAAAAAACAUGUAAACUAAUCUUCUAGUUGGUUUUUCUACAGUGACCUCUCUUAUAACAAUUUCUCAUUGCCGUUUAGCUGCCAAGAAAGGAGGUACAUACGUACAUAUUUGUUGAUAAAAUGCUCAUAUUGAAGUUGAUGUUCUCAAUUUGUAUUGGAUCAGUAACAUUAAUACAUACCGGAGCUCAUCCUUAAAGAACACUUUGUAAGUUCACUCUUCUGCGUUAUCUUCUGCAACAAGAAUGCCUAAAGCUUAGUACAAAUCUUUUGCAAGUUUUCUCCUGAUCAGAUGCCUAAAUACUAUGAUCAUUUUGUCAUACAGAACUGGUCUUCUUCCAUGCGCUGGUCCAAUCACUUGCAAGCACUGUAAGCACAUACUGAGAAUUUGACCCACUCACUUUUGUUAAUUCAUUUUUUUAUUGAUGUUGAUAAUCGUUGUUGAUUGUAGAUAAGCGAUCGCUACAUAUAAACUGUGGUGGGGAAACUGUGACUGUUACAAACUCUAUUGGUAAAAUCACUUAUCAAGCUGAUAACAGUGAUCAGGUCAAAGCCGCUACAAAUCAGCACUUCAAGAACUGGGGAAUUAGCAACACUGGUGACUUUAUGGAUGAUAAUAGAGAUGAAGAUACGUACAUCAUUUCUACUAGUUUGACACUACCUGGAGAUUCUCCUGAUCUUUAUAAGACUGCGCGUCGAUCUGCUCUCUCUCUUGUUUAUUAUGCGUUUUGCUUGGAAAAUGGAGAAUAUAAUUUGAAACUUCAUUUUAUGGAGAUUCAGUUUUCAGAUCAAGAACUAUAUAGUCGUCUAGGUAGACGCAUAUUUGAUGUCUAUGUUCAGGUAUAGCGUUAUUGUUUACUGAAUAAUUGCUUUUUAUUACCUAACUAAGUUGCUUAGAAGAUUGAAUUUCAUUUCCUUUUGUCCCUUUUCUCCUCUGAUAGGGGAAAUUGUUCUUGAGGGAUUUUAACAUCAGACAGGAGGCUAAUGGCACUCUGAAGUCUAUUGUGAAAGAACUGAAAGCUGUUAAUGUGACGGAUCAUAAGUUAGAGAUAUGGUUGUAUUGGGCGGGUAAAGGGACAACACUCAUACCCAAAAGAGGAAACUAUGGUCCUCUUAUCUCUGCAAUCUCCUUGUGCCACAGUAAGUAACACUUCUCCUCUGCUUUAGAAAACUUAAGACUAUUCUUGUUACUCCUUGUUACCUAUAAAUAAUAUUCAUGUUUCAAAAUUUCAGGCCUGGAGCAACAUUGUGGAGGUCCCAUAAGAUAAAUAAAUAAAUACUUUGUUACAAACUUCUUUCUCUAGAUUGGUGUAUGCAUUAACACUUUUAGGGUCUCAUUUGCAGUGGAGAAAACCAAACAUCACAUCAAUUAUCCACUAAUUUUUGGGGUAACGGGUCCCUUGGUAGCAAUUAUUUUCUUGGCUUUGGGAAUAUUCUAUGCUCACAGAAAAUUCAGACAGGGCAAGAAAAAGAGAGAAAGAGGUAUCAAAGCUCACAAAGUAUAUGAAUACAAUACACAUAUUUGCUCAUAGCAUUAUUACUUAUGAUUUUGGAACCUGAUCACAUUAUAUAGACUUGAGAGCACGGGGUCUGCAAACUGUUUGCUUUACAUGGAGGCAACUGCAAGCUGCAACUAAUGAUUUUGAUGAAGCCAACAAACUUGGAGAAGGAGGUUUCGGUUCUGUAUUCAAAGUAUACUAAAACUAGAACACAUGCCAAGUUUUUCUCAAGAAUUUAUAUGGCUGUUUAUUUGGUUUCUGAUAUGAGAAACAUAAUAUGCAGGGAGAGCUGCCAGAUGGAACUAUCAUAGCAGUGAAGCAGCUUUCUUCCAAGUCAUGCCAAGGAAACCGUGAGUUUGUGAAUGAGAUAGGCAUGAUCUCUGGUCUGAAUCAUCCAAACCUUGUCAAGCUUUAUGGAUGCUGUGUCGAAAAGGAUCAAUUGCUACUUGUGUAUGAGUACAUGGAAAACAACUCCCUUGCUCUUGCUU
RNAcentral lists this long non-coding RNA (7126 nucleotides) under Brassica napus (rape). RNAcentral's name for it is "long non-coding RNA (BNAP_LNC012613)". The record is from RNAcentral. Lineage: Eukaryota; Viridiplantae; Streptophyta; Magnoliopsida; Brassicales; Brassicaceae.